AGAGUUUGAUCCUGGCUCAGGAUGAACGCUGGCGGCGUGCUUAACACAUGCAAGUCGAACGGUGAACUUGGGAGCUUGCUCUCGGGGGAUCAGUGGCGAACGGGUGAGUAACACGUGAGUAACCUGCCCUUGACUCUGGGAUAAGCACUGGAAACGGUGUCUAAUACCGGAUACGAGCUUCAGCCGCAUGGCUAGGAGCUGGAAAGAACUUUGGUCAAGGAUGGACUCGCGGCCUAUCAGCUAGUUGGUGAGGUAAUGGCUCACCAAGGCGACGACGGGUAGCCGGCCUGAGAGGGUGACCGGCCACACUGGGACUGAGACACGGCCCAGACUCCUACGGGAGGCAGCAGUGGGGAAUAUUGCACAAUGGGCGAAAGCCUGAUGCAGCAACGCCGCGUGAGGGACGACGGCCUUCGGGUUGUAAACCUCUUUUAGUAGGGAAGAAGCGAAAGUGACGGUACCUGCAGAAAAAGCACCGGCUAACUACGUGCCAGCAGCCGCGGUAAUACGUAGGGUGCAAGCGUUAUCCGGAAUUAUUGGGCGUAAAGAGCUCGUAGGCGGUUUGUCGCGUCUGCUGUGAAAACUGGAGGCUCAACCUCCAGCCUGCAGUGGGUACGGGCAGACUAGAGUGCGGUAGGGGAGAUUGGAAUUCCUGGUGUAGCGGUGGAAUGCGCAGAUAUCAGGAGGAACACCGAUGGCGAAGGCAGAUCUCUGGGCCGUAACUGACGCUGAGGAGCGAAAGCAUGGGGAGCGAACAGGAUUAGAUACCCUAGUAGUCC
Molecule: ribosomal RNA, 779 nt
Filed under: uncultured bacterium
Lineage: Bacteria
Description: bacterial SSU rRNA
Rfam family: Bacterial small subunit ribosomal RNA
Source: RNAcentral